RNAcentral lists this transfer RNA (73 nucleotides) under Prosthecodimorpha hirschii. RNAcentral describes it as "Prosthecomicrobium hirschii tRNA". It matches the Rfam family "tRNA". From Rfam's summary of the family: Transfer RNA (tRNA) molecules are approximately 80 nucleotides in length. Their secondary structure includes four short double-helical elements and three loops (D, anti-codon, and T loops). Lineage: Bacteria; Pseudomonadati; Pseudomonadota; Alphaproteobacteria; Hyphomicrobiales; Ancalomicrobiaceae. The record is from Rfam by way of RNAcentral. RNAcentral also lists the same sequence under 1 other name.
GGGCGCGUAGCUCAGUUGGUAGAGCAGCUGACUCUUAAUCAGCGGGUCACAGGUUCGAUCCCUGUCGCGCCCA